Molecule: ribosomal RNA, 253 nt
Filed under: uncultured bacterium
Lineage: Bacteria
Description: partial 16S ribosomal RNA
Rfam family: Bacterial small subunit ribosomal RNA
Source: RNAcentral
UGCGUAGGGGGCUAGCGUUGUCCGGAAUUACUGGGCGUAAAGGGCUCGUAGGCGGCCAACUAAGUCGGAUGUGAAAUCCCCAGGCUCAACCUGGGAACUGCAUCCGAUACUGGAUGGCUUGAAUUCGGGAGAGGGAUGCAGAAUUCCAGGUGUAGCGGUGAAAUGCGUAGAUAUCUGGAGGAACACCGGUGGCGAAGGCGGCGACCUGGUCCAUUACUGACGCUGAGGCGCGACAGCGUGGGGAGCAAACAGG